GGUGCAUUUUUUCCUAAGGGACUUUUAUUUUGAUGCCGUGGUUUUGUUGUGAGUGUCCAUGGAGACGGAGAGCGAAAAAAAGUAAACUGGCAGGAGAGUGACGCGGGGUUUUCAGUGUAACAGUUACAGUUUUCGUGUGCUACAAAAGUAGUGAUUUUACUCUUUUUGGAGCUUCAAGCUAUAAGAGCAGCAGUGUGCGGUUAUUUUUGAGUUUUUUUUCUACGAAUAGCGUGCCUGCACGAUUUAAUGCAGCUGUGGUGACUUAAUCCAAAAAGUGCCCUAGUUACGGAGGAUUUGUAUCAGAUUCAUACGGUGUUAGAGACUGACUUUUGAGCAUAAAAGAGUUGCUGAAGUCGUGAGUCAUUUCAGAACACUGCUAUUUUCUGAUACUUUAUUGGAUUUAAGUUUUUUUUAGUUUUGCUGCAUUAUAUGUGACUGUAAUAUUAAGAUUGAGAUUAACCGUUAUUAACGGUUACCAACUGACAUCGUCAGUGUGUACACACAAAUUUUUGCAAAGGUGACAUCUCCCUGCUAACUCAUCUUAUUGCCAAAUACCAUCUCAUUGCUACAAGUUGUCUCAUUGCUACAAGUCUUCUCAUUGCUACAAGUCGUCUCAUUGCUACCAGUUGUCUCAUUGCUACAAGUCUUCUCAUUGCUACAAGUCGUCUCAUUGCUACAAGUCGUCUCAUUGCUACAAGUCGUCUCAUUGCUACAAGUCGUCUCAUCUCAACGGAAGUUGUCAUUCACCAGUUGCCUUCACUGUGGACUGGUACACCUUUCUUAUACACACACUCACAGGUGCUGAUAGUGCAUGAUUGUGAGUUGGACUGGGUAUUUGUGACUUCGAGAUUGUAAAGG
Paramisgurnus dabryanus is the source of this 858-nucleotide non-coding RNA. NCBI's taxonomy places the organism in Eukaryota, Metazoa, Chordata, Actinopteri, Cypriniformes, Cobitidae. The record is from RefSeq and is a predicted model, not a curated record.